UGCAUGGUUGUCGUCAGCUCGUGUCGUGAGAUGUGGUUAAGUCCGCAACGAGCGCAACCCUACGUUUAGUUGCUAACGCGCGAAGGCGAGCACUCUAGACGAACUGCCGUUGACAAAACGGAGGAAGGUGGGGAUGACGUCAAAUCAUCAUGCCCCUUAUGUUCUGGGCUACACACGUGCUACAAUGGCCGGUACAGACGGACGCAAAGCCGCGAGGUGGAGCAAAUCCUAAAAAGCCGGUCUCAGUUCGGAUUGCAGGCUGCAAUUCGCCUGCAUGAAGUCGGAAUCGCUAGUAAUCGCAGGUCAGCAUACUGCGGUGAAUACGUUCCCGGGCCUU
RNAcentral lists this ribosomal RNA (337 nucleotides) under uncultured Pelotomaculum sp. RNAcentral's name for it is "bacterial SSU rRNA". It matches the Rfam family "Bacterial small subunit ribosomal RNA", at positions 1042 to 1382 of the family's 1533-position model. The record is from RNAcentral. Lineage: Bacteria; Bacillati; Bacillota; Clostridia; Eubacteriales; Desulfotomaculaceae.